GCAUUAAUGGGGUAGUGGUAACCUGGGUCGUUGCCAUAAAUUCAAAUCUCGACCCGCCGGGUUUUCGAUUCCCUCUUAAUGCA
Non-coding RNA from Lentinula detonsa, 83 nucleotides. The record is from the annotation of a GenBank genome assembly. NCBI's taxonomy places the organism in Eukaryota, Fungi, Basidiomycota, Agaricomycetes, Agaricales, Omphalotaceae.